GGAGAGAUGGCAGAGUGGUCGAAUGCGUCGGUUUUGAAAACCGAAGUGGGGGCAACCUCACCGGGGGUUCGAAUCCCUCUCUCUCCGCCA
This 90-nucleotide transfer RNA is filed under the name bacterium. RNAcentral describes it as "tRNA-Ser". It matches the Rfam family "tRNA". Rfam says of the family: Transfer RNA (tRNA) molecules are approximately 80 nucleotides in length. Their secondary structure includes four short double-helical elements and three loops (D, anti-codon, and T loops). The record is from RNAcentral.